UUCUUGCUCAAAAUUCGCCCCAAGCCGUGUUCUUUCACCCAAAAAAGGUAAAAAAUGAUCAGAAAACACAGCAGCUUUGUUAAGCCUAUUCUGGUCGCUAUAAGCCAAAACUGGUCGCUAAAAAUGUCAAAUCUUGUCGCUAAAAGGUGCACACCAGAUCUGAUGUACUAGCAAUCUUUAUUUUCACUAAGAAGACUCUAACUCCAUCAUACAAACUCAGAAUUCAGUGAUUCUUGUUCCUAUGAGUCACAAAUAAUGAUACGAACAUAUUCCUUCAAUCGAAACUCAAUUUGGAGCUCGUUUGCUCAGUGCGAUAACGAUUUCGCUCGUUAAACAAUUAACUCAUGAUUCACGUCAAAAACUCAAUUGCGACUUGAUGAAAUUAGACCAAACUUUCCAGAUCACUCCUAUAAUUCAUUAUCAAAAUUCUAGAAGUCUCAAAAUCAAAUUUCGAUCUCUAAAACUAAAAAUGGACAUUUGGAUCAUUCCAUGCUUAUAAUCAAAACGCCAAAAAUCUUUCAAAAACUCUUCCAAAACAUAUCUGAGCCUCAUGGGACCCCGACCAAACAUGCCAACAUACCCCAUAACAUAAUUAAAACUUGUUUCAAUCUUCGGAACACUCAAAACAACAUCAAAACAUCAAAUCACCUUUUGAUUCAAGCCUAAGAAUUCAAAAACAUCUGAAAUCCGAAUUUGAUCAAAAAGUCGACCAAACGACGUCCAAAUGACAUGAAAUUUUGCACAUACAUCACAAAUGACAUAACGAAGCUAUAGUAACUUUUGAAAUGCUAUUCCAGCCCUCGGAUCAAAAUCUCACCUAUCAACUGAAAUUCGCCAAAAUAUUGACUUUGCCAAUUCAAGCCAAAUCCUUCCACGUACUUCCAAAAUGCAUUCCAAUCGCGCUCCUAAGUUAUAAAUCACCCAACGAUGCUAUCCGAAUCAUAAAAUAUCCGAUCCGAUCUUAUAUACAAAUAAGCCAACUCUUAAUCAACCCUUUCAAAUUCAAAGCUUUCAACUGAGACUGUUCCUUAAAAUUCAUUCCGAU
Molecule: long non-coding RNA, 1045 nt
Filed under: Nicotiana benthamiana
Lineage: Eukaryota; Viridiplantae; Streptophyta; Magnoliopsida; Solanales; Solanaceae
Description: long non-coding RNA (NBEN_LNC005674)
Source: RNAcentral